UUUUAUCACCGCAGGUACCAUGCAAGAUUACCACCACUAUAUGUUGAUCCCAGGUUUGUUUAUCCUAGCCGUGUUGGCCUUCCUGGAGAAGAGACAGCGACGUGUGGACAUCUGUAGGGGUAGACCAGGGCUCAUAGUGGCUAUCCCGUGGCUAGACAGCUAUGAGAACCGCUUUGCUUAUUCUGUUAUCUUUGGUAUUGUGUUAGAAUUGUUUACUGAACUGUUGAACUU
Long non-coding RNA from Physella acuta, 231 nucleotides. RefSeq lists it as uncharacterized. Lineage: Eukaryota; Metazoa; Mollusca; Gastropoda; Physidae. The record is from RefSeq and is a predicted model, not a curated record.